GAGCGUAUGGUCUGGAGGUAUGAUACCUGCUUGGGGAGUGGGUAGGCUGCUAGGUUUAAGUAUCCUGUUUCAUGAAUCUAUCUAUUGAUUGCAGGGGGUCUUUGGUUCAAAUCCGAAUUCGCCCC
Non-coding RNA from Rhodocollybia butyracea, 125 nucleotides. NCBI's taxonomy places the organism in Eukaryota, Fungi, Basidiomycota, Agaricomycetes, Agaricales, Omphalotaceae. The record is from the annotation of a GenBank genome assembly.